CCCUGCAGCCAUCGAGGUCAAGAAGACUAUUCCUUCAUCUGUGCUGCUCUUUUCCAUGCAUCCAUCCAUUCUUCUCCAGCUCUGCAUUCAUCACAGACUCCUGAAUGAAGCCGGAUUUAUUCAUUCUUCUUGCUGAAGGUUUGGUCACGUCGUGAACUCUUUGAUAGCAGUCGCUCCUCGACGUGAACACAGCAGAGAACGAGCUGCUCUUCACAUCGCAGACGGCUGAAUGAAUCCUUCGGAGCAGGUCACGACGCUUCACAGCCUCAUAAAUCUGGGAGACGCUGCAGCAGCAGAUCUGAUGACCCCAUACAUCACUGAAAGGUCACCGGCGUGACGACGAGGAAGCGAUUCGUCUUCUGAAAAUCCAGCGUGAGCGAUGAGACUGGAAGAGGAGGAUUAGUAUGUAGCAGGGAGGAGCUGAGACCUUUAGAGGAGAUAUGAAGAAGCACUGGAGCUGCUGAGGGUCUCCACUCACAUCUUCACCCAUAAAAUCA
Amphiprion ocellaris (clown anemonefish) is the source of this 497-nucleotide long non-coding RNA. Lineage: Eukaryota; Metazoa; Chordata; Actinopteri; Pomacentridae. The record is from Ensembl.